This is a non-coding RNA of Chelonoidis abingdonii (Abingdon island giant tortoise), 96 nucleotides long. The record is from RefSeq and is a predicted model, not a curated record. Lineage: Eukaryota; Metazoa; Chordata; Testudines; Testudinidae.
CAAAAGGGACUCCAUGUGUGCCAUGCUAUGGCGUCUGCAGGGCAAUCCAGGGAACAAGGGCGCGACAAUGAUUGUCUGCCGGUUGCCAUACUAUGG